Molecule: transfer RNA, 96 nt
Filed under: Plasmodium vivax (malaria parasite P. vivax)
Lineage: Eukaryota; Apicomplexa; Aconoidasida; Haemosporida; Plasmodiidae
Description: Leu transfer RNA (cag)
Source: RNAcentral
AUUUAUGUUUGAGAUAUGUUUAAUCUUUGUUCUUUCAGAAAGGACAAUGUUUUAUUAAAAAUUUUUUUAAAGUUCUGCAAUUGAGCUUCAUAUUUU